UUAAAUAAUGGAUUGGCUGCAAAGUUCGUUUGGGUUUUUCCAUUAAAAACUCGAACAAACUCUUGGGCCAACCCAAUAUAAGAGUUA
Molecule: microRNA precursor, 87 nt
Filed under: Ovis aries (sheep)
Lineage: Eukaryota; Metazoa; Chordata; Mammalia; Artiodactyla; Bovidae
Description: miRNA (ENSOARG00000022905.1)
Source: RNAcentral